Molecule: unclassified non-coding RNA, 425 nt
Filed under: soil metagenome
Description: partial contains 5.8S ribosomal RNA, internal transcribed spacer 2, and large subunit ribosomal RNA
Rfam family: 5.8S ribosomal RNA (bases 1-120)
Source: RNAcentral
GUUGAAGAACGCAGCGAAAUGCGAUAAGUAGUGUGAAUUGCAGAAUUCCGUGAAUCAUCGAAUCUUUGAACGCACAUUGCGCCUUCUGGUAUUCCGGAAGGCAUGCCUGUUCGAGAGUCAUUAACAACCGUUUCGAUCCCUUUCUUUCAGAAAUUACAAAGAGGAAAAGGGUUUGGUUAUGGUGGAGGAGGGAAAGGGAGCGUUUAGCCUGUAAAAAAAGAGGCUGUGUUCCGCCUCCCCCCCAAAAUUGUACAGGCGGUCGUGUGCGCCCACGCAUCGAGGUGUUGUAAAAGCUGCCACGGCACUUUUCACCUGUGCAGUGCGAGAUUGGCCAGCCGGUUUAAAAACCCCUCCAAACAAUCAAAGGUUGACCUCGGAUCAGGUAGGGAUACCCGCUGAACUUAAGCAUAUCAAUAAGCGGAGGA